This 486-nucleotide ribosomal RNA is filed under the name uncultured bacterium. RNAcentral's name for it is "partial 16S ribosomal RNA". It matches the Rfam family "Bacterial small subunit ribosomal RNA", at positions 30 to 507 of the family's 1533-position model. The record is from RNAcentral.
AUUGAACGCUGGCGGCAUGCCUUACACAUGCCAGUCGAACGGCAGCACGGGUGCUUGCACCUGGUGGCGAGUGGCGAACGGGUGAGUAAUACAUCGGAACAUGUCCUGUAGUGGGGGAUAGCCCGGCGAAAGCCGGAUUAAUACCGCAUACGAUCCACGGAUGAAAGCGGGGGACCUUCGGGCCUCGCGCUAUAGGGUUGGCCGAUGGCUGAUUAGCUAGUGGGUGGGGUAAAGGCCUACCAAGGCGACGAUCAGUAGCUGGUCUGUGAGGACGACCAGCCACACUGGGACUGAGACACGGCCCAGACUCCUACGGGAGGCAGCAGUGGGGAAUUUUGGACAAUGGGCGAAAGCCUGAUCCAGCAAUGCCGCGUGUGUGAAGAAGGCCUUCGGGUUGUAAAGCACUUUUGUCCGGAAAGAAAUCCUUGACUCUAAUACAGUCGGGGGAUGACGGUACCGGAAGAAUAAGCACCGGCUAACUACGUG